Molecule: ribosomal RNA, 252 nt
Filed under: uncultured bacterium
Lineage: Bacteria
Description: partial 16S ribosomal RNA
Rfam family: Bacterial small subunit ribosomal RNA
Source: RNAcentral
UACAGAGGUGGCAAGCGUUGUUCGGAAUUACUGGGCGUAAAGGGCGCGUAGGCGGUCUUGCAAGUCCUGUGUGAAAUCCCUCGGCUCAACUGAGGAACUGCACAGGAAACUGCUUGGCUUGAGUUCGGGAGAGGGAAGCGGAAUUCCGGGUGUAGCGGUGAAAUGCGUAGAUAUCCAGAGGAACACCGGUGGCGAAGGCGGCUUCUGGACAGCAACUGACGCUGAGACGCGAAAGCGUGGGGAGCAAACAGG